Molecule: ribosomal RNA, 896 nt
Filed under: Striaticonidium synnematum
Lineage: Eukaryota; Fungi; Ascomycota; Sordariomycetes; Hypocreales; Stachybotryaceae
Description: partial large subunit ribosomal RNA
Rfam family: Eukaryotic large subunit ribosomal RNA
Source: RNAcentral
UAGCAUAUCAAUAAGCGGAGGAAAAGAAACCAACAGGGAUUGCCUCAGUAACGGCGAGUGAAGCGGCAACAGCUCAAAUUUGAAAUCUGCCCCCCCGGGCCGAGUUGUAAUUUGCAGAGGAUGCUUUUGGCGAGGUGCCUUCCGAGUUCCCUGGAACGGGACGCCAUAGAGGGUGAGAGCCCCGUCUGGUCGGACACCGAGCCUCUGUAAAGCUCCUUCGACGAGUCGAGUAGUUUGGGAAUGCUGCUCAAAAUGGGAGGUAUAUGUCUUCUAAAGCUAAAUACCGGCCAGAGACCGAUAGCGCACAAGUAGAGUGAUCGAAAGAUGAAAAGCACUUUGAAAAGAGAGUUAAAUAGCACGUGAAAUUGUUGAAAGGGAAGCGUUUAUGACCAGACUUGGCCCGGUUGAUCAUCCAGCGUUCUCGCUGGUGCACUCUGCCGGUCCAGGCCAGCAUCAGUUCGCUUCGGGGGAUAAAGGCUUCGGGAAUGUGGCUCCCUCCGGGGAGUGUUAUAGCCCGUUGUGUAAUACCCUGAGGUGGACUGAGGUCCGCGCACUGCAAGGAUGCUGGCGUAAUGGUCAUCAACGACCCGUCUUGAAACACGGACCAAGGAGUCGUCUUCGUAUGCGAGUGUUCGGGUGCAAAACCCCUACGCGUAAUGAAAGUGAACGCAGGUGAGAGCUUCGGCGCAUCAUCGACCGAUCCUGAUGUUCUCGGAUGGAUUUGAGUAAGAGCAUACGGGGCCGGACCCGAAAGAAGGUGAACUAUGCCUGUAUAGGGUGAAGCCAGAGGAAACUCUGGUGGAGGCUCGCAGCGGUUCUGACGUGCAAAUCGAUCGUCAAAUAUGGGCAUGGGGGCGAAAGACUAAUCGAACCUUCUAGUAGCUGGUUUCCGCCGA